GACGAACGCUGGCGGCGUGCUUAACACAUGCAAGUCGAACGGUAAGGCCCUUCGGGGUACACGAGUGGCGAACGGGUGAGUAACACGUGGGUGAUCUGCCCUGCACUUCGGGAUAAGCCUGGGAAACUGGGUCUAAUACCGGAUAGGACCACUGCCUGCAUGGGUGGUGGUGGAAAGCUUUUGCGGUGUGGGAUGGGACCGCGGCCUAUCAGCUUGUUGGUGGGGUGAUGGCCUACCAAGGCGACGACGGGUAGCCGGCCUGAGAGGGUGACCGGCCACACUGGGACUGAGUUACGGCCCAGACUCCUACGGGAGGCAGCAGUGGGGAAUAUUGCACAAUGGGCGCAAGCCUGAUGCAGCGACGCCGCGUGAGGGAUGACGGCCUUCGGGUUGUAAACCUCUUUCAGCACCGACGAAGCGCAAGUGACGGUAGGUGCAGAAGAAGGACCGGCCAACUACGUGCCAGCAGCCGCCGUAA
RNAcentral lists this ribosomal RNA (478 nucleotides) under uncultured bacterium. RNAcentral describes it as "partial 16S ribosomal RNA". It matches the Rfam family "Bacterial small subunit ribosomal RNA", at positions 28 to 523 of the family's 1533-position model. The record is from RNAcentral.